ACAAUUAAUUAUCAGGCAAGAGAGUUCCAGUGUUCAACAACCACGCGAGACGAGUCUUCUUCCGCUAACACGAACGGUUUUCUCCGCAACGCGAUCAAUGCGAAAGCUUCGAUUUGGUGAUCGGAAUGAUUGGAUGUGAAUUUUGGUGAGGAUUUGUAAGUUUUUGUGAUUGGAGGUGGAGAAGAAGUGAUUUUUUGGAAGGAUCUGAUCGAGAAUGAACUUUAACCAGCAUUUGGUCAUGGAAGGAGGAUGUGAAGUUAAGGGCGGAGGAGGAGGAAGUGGUUUGGCGCGGCUGGCGUCCGUCUACUCGCUGACGUUCGACGAGUUCCAGAGUUCGUUGGGAGGAUUCGGGAAGGACUUUGGCUCGAUGAACAUGGACGAGCUGCUGAAGAAUAUCUGGACCGCGGAAGAGAGCCAGGCGAUGGCAGGCGCCGUUGCGCCCGGUGUCGGAGAGGGCGGCAUCCAGGGGCAGGGGUCUUUCACUCUCCCUCGGACUCUGAGCCACAUGACGGUCGAUGAGAUCUGGCGAGACCUUGUCUGCCCAGCCCAUGCCGCCCCGGCUCCCGCCGCCGUUGGUGUCUCGCAGCAACAUCGGCAUCCGACGCUGGGCGAGAUAACCCUUGAGGAAUUCCUGGUCAAAGCUGGCGUUGUCAAAGAGGAACCAGCCACCAUCCUGCCGCCGAGGCCGAUCGGCAAUACGACGGGCAAUGUGAUCUUCAACGAUCUACCAGUUGUGAACAAUGCCACUGAUUUUUCUCUUGGAUUUUCACCGGCUGGCCGAAGCAGUAGAGGUUCUGGUGUGAGCAAUCAGAUUGUUGAUAGUGCUGCGGUUAAUUUGGCGAUGAUAGCUGCCAACGAGGCAAUGCCAUUUGCAGUACCGCGGAGCGUGGUUGAUUUGGGGAAUCAGGCUAUUAGAAGGGGAGGUCUUGCAGGAGUCGGCGAAGCAGGGAUGAAUGGUGGAUUCAUGCCUGGAGCUGUUGCCUUGGGCGCAGGAGCAGGUACAGUUACAGUUGCCUCUCCAGUGAACCAUGCGCGCUCACAUUCUUUCAGGAAGAGAAGUCGAGAUCAGUCUUCUGUAUCAUCAGUUCCAUACCCUUUUAGCGGAGGGUUGAGAGGAAGGAAAUCCAGUGCUGUGGAGAAGGUAUUUGAGAGGAGACAGAGGCGGAUGAUCAAGAACAGAGAGUCGGCUGCUAGAUCACGUGCCAGGAAGCAGGCUUAUACGAUGGAGUUGGAAACUGAAGUGGCAGAACUAAAAGAACUAAACCAAGAAUUGCAGAAGAAACAGACUUAUACGAUGAAGUUGGAAACUGAAGUGGCAUAACUAAAAGAAUUAAACCAAGAAUUGCAGAAGAAACAGGCAAAAAUGAUGGAGAUGCAGAAAAAUCAGGUGUUGCGGAUGAUCAAUCAGCAACCAGGGCCAAAGAAACCGUGCCUGAGAAGGACACAAACAGGGCCCUGGUAAAGUUGUGCAUGGACAGUGAUAACAUGAUAUAUCCUAGCUGUUUUCUAAAAGCGAUCUUGUCUAUAUCAGUGAUAGUGUCAUCUCCUGUAAAUUAAACAAUCAAUAUAGACUCAGCAUCAUACUUAUGAGUGCUUGGAUUUCAUUUCAA
Molecule: RNA transcript, 1610 nt
Organism: Zingiber officinale
Lineage: Eukaryota; Viridiplantae; Streptophyta; Magnoliopsida; Zingiberales; Zingiberaceae
Gene name: bZIP transcription factor TRAB1-like
Exons: 6
Source: RefSeq, a predicted model, not a curated record